CCCCUACGACUCGCGCGUCGACGGUGAGUACACUGGGAAGUNUCCGUAUCGUACGGAAUAGACUCAGGAAACUGGGUAAGUACCGCAUACGCCUUCGGGGAAACGAGUUAUCGCCGAUAGAUGAGCCCGCGUCUGAUUAGCUAGUUGGUGAGGUAAUGGCUCACCAAGGCGACGAUCAGUAGCUGGUCUGAGAGGAUGAUCAGCCACACUGGGACUGAGACACGGCCCAGACUCCUACGGGAGGCAGCAGUGGGGAAUAUUGGACAAUGGGCGAAAGCCUGAUCCAGCCAUGCCGCGUGAGUGACGAAGGUCUUCGGAUUGUAAAGCUCUUUUGGCGGGGACGAUAAUGACGGUACCCGCAGAAUAAGCCCCGGCUAACUUCGUGCCAGCAGCCGCGGUAAUACGAAGGGGGCUAGCGUUGUUCGAAAUUACUGGGCGUAAAGCGCACGUAGGCGGAUUCGUAAGUCAGGGGUGAAAUCCCGGGGCUCAACCUCGGAACUGCCUUUGAUACUGCAAGUCUUGAGUCCGGUUGUCGACGCGGCCG
Molecule: ribosomal RNA, 544 nt
Filed under: uncultured Hyphomicrobium sp.
Lineage: Bacteria; Pseudomonadati; Pseudomonadota; Alphaproteobacteria; Hyphomicrobiales; Hyphomicrobiaceae
Description: bacterial SSU rRNA
Rfam family: Bacterial small subunit ribosomal RNA
Source: RNAcentral